Molecule: ribosomal RNA, 460 nt
Filed under: uncultured bacterium
Lineage: Bacteria
Description: bacterial SSU rRNA
Rfam family: Bacterial small subunit ribosomal RNA
Source: RNAcentral
CGCUGGCGGCGCGUCUUAAACAUGCAAGUCGAACGAUCUGUAGCAAUACAGGGAGUGGCGGACGGGUGAGGAACACGUAGGAAUCUACCUUGAAGAGCGGGACAACUUUGGGAAACCGGGGCUAAUACCGCAUAGUACAGAGAUGUUAAAGGGCUAGCAAUAGUCGCUUCGAGAUGAGCCUGCGGUCUAUCAGCUUGUUGGUGAGGUAAUGGCUCACCAAGGCUACGACGGAUAGCCGGUCUGAGAGGAUGAUCGGCCACACUGGCACUGAGACACGGGCCAGACUCCUACGGGAGGCAGCAGUUAAGAAUCUUUCGCAAUGGGGGAAACCCUGACGCAGCGACGCCGCGUGAAGGAUGAAGGCUUUCGGGUUGUAAACUUCGGUAGACUGGGAAGAAGAAAUACGUUCGUUGAGGGCGUAUAGUGACGGUACCAGUCUGAAGCCCCGGCUAAUUACGUG